AAGCAAGUAGAGAAGGGCGCACGGGGGAUGCCUGGGCUCCACGGGGCGAAGAAGGACGUGCCAAGCUGCGAAAAUCCGCGGGGACCCGCAAGGGGGAUCGAUCCGCGGGUGUCCGAAUGGGGCAACCCAUCCCGCGAGGGAUAUCCCGGCUGAUGCCGGGAGGCGAACCCGCCGAACUGAAACAUCUAAGUAGGCGGAGGAAGAGAAAACAACAGUGAUUCCGUGAGUAGCGGCGAGCGGAAGCGGAACAGCCCAAACCCGGGCGGUCAAGGCCGUCCGGGGGUAGUAGGACCCGCGUGGUCCCGCGCGAAUGCGACCCGAAGCGCCUGGGAAGGCGCGCCGCAGGGGGUGAUAGUCCCGUAGGGGAAGCAUGGACGCGGGCGCGGGUAUCCUGAGUAGGCCGGGACGGGAGGAAUCCCGGCUGAAUCCGCCGGCACCAUCCGGCAAGGCUAAAUACUGCGUGGAGACCGAUAGUGUACCAGUACCGUGAGGGAAAGGUGAAAAGUACCGUGAACAACGGGGUGAAACAGAACCUGAAACCGUGCGCCUACAAGCGGUCGGAGUCCCUUAGGGGAUGACGGCGUGCCUUUUGCAUAAUGAGCCUACGAGUUGCUCCUCGCCGGCGAGGUUAAUUCCGUUGACGGAAGGAGCCGGAGCGAAAGCGAGUCCGAAGAGGGCGUCGAGUCGGCGGGGGCAGACGCGAAACUUUGUGAUCUACCCAUGGGCAGGCUGAUGCUGCGGUAACGCGCAGCGGAGGGCCGAACCGAUAAGCGUUGAAAAGCUUCCGGAUGACCUGUGGGUAGGGGUGAAAGGCCAAUCAAACUGAGAAAUAGCUCGUACUCCCCGAAAUGCCUUUGGGGGCAGCGUCGGCGUUGGGGCCGCGGAGGUAGAGCUACCGAUAGGACUAGGGGGAGUCGCAUCCUACCAAAUCCUGACGAACUCCGAAUGCCGCGGCCUUUUGCCGGCAGUGAGGGCCGGGGUGCUAAGGUCCCGGUCCGAGAGGGAAAGAACCCGGACCCGCCGCUAAGGCCCCUAAAUCCGCGCUAAGUUGGGCAAAGGCGGUCCAGCUGCAGAGACAGCCAGGAGGUUAGCUUGGAAGCAGCUAUUCCUUUGAAGAGUGCGUAACAGCUCACUGGUCGAGCGGCAGGGCGCCGAUGAUAAACGGGCAUCAAGCGCGGUGCCGAAGCGAGGGACUGCACUUGUGCAGUGGUAGGGGAGCAUUCCAAACCGCGGCGAAUGCGCAUGGCGAUGUGCGCUGGAGCGUUUGGAAAAGCAAAUGUAGGCAUGAGUAACGACAAGGCCGGCGCGAAACCGGCCCACCGAUAGACCAAGGUUUCCUGAUCAACGCUAAUCGGAUCAGGGUCAGUCGGGGCCUAAGGCGCACCCGUCUAGGGGAGGCCGAUGGACAACUGGUCAACAUUCCAGUACACCGCGCGCGAUGGAAGCGACGCGUCCGUGUACCCGGUGCGCACUGACGGAAUAGUGCGUUGAACCGCGCGGAAGCGCGGGAUAGUACGCGGGGGCCACGGCCGAAGCGACAAUCCGGGGAGGCGGGCGCCAAGAAAAGCGAGCGCGCGGUCCCGUACCGCAGACCGACACAGGUGGUCAAGGAGAGUAUCCUGAGGUGCUCGGGUGAAUCAUGGCCAAGGAACUCGGCAAAAUUGCCCUGUAACUUCGGGAGAAGGGGCGCCCCCUGCGAGGGGGGCCGCAGUGAAGAGGCCCAGGCGACUGUUUAGCAAAAACACAUGGCUUUGCGAACCCGGAAGGGGAAGUAUAAGGCCUGACACCUGCCCGGUGCCGGAAGGUUAAGAGGGGAUGUCACCGCAAGGGAAGCAUUGAAUCGAAGCCCCGGUAAACGGCGGCCGUAACUAUAACGGUCCUAAGGUAGCGAAAUUCCUUGUCGGGUAAGUUCCGACCUGCACGAAUGGUGUAACGAUCUGGGCGCUGUCUCGGCCAUGAGCCCGGUGAAAUUGUAGUCACGGUGAAGAUGCCGUGUACCCGCAACGGGACGGAAAGACCCCAUGAACCUUUACUGCAGCUUAGCGUUGGUGCCGGGCGGACGGUGUGUAGGAUAGGCGGGAGGCCGUGAACGAGAGUCGCCAGGCUUUCGGGAGCCGCUGUUGAAAUACCGCCCUCCGUCCGUCUGGCCCCUAACCCCCCGAGUGGGGGGACACCGCUUGGCGGGUAGUUUGACUGGGGUGGUCGCCUCCAAAAGGAUAACGGAGGCUUCCAAAGGUACCCUCAGCACGCUUGGUAACCGUGCGCGGAGUGCAAUGGCAUAAGGGUGCUUGACUGUGGGGCCGACAAGCCGAGCAGGGUGGAAACACGGGCAUAGUGAUCCGGCGGUACCGCAUGGAAGGGCCGUCGCUCAAAGGAUAAAAGGUACUCUGGGGAUAACAGGCUGAUCUCCCCCAAGAGCUCAUAUCGACGGGGAGGUUUGGCACCUCGAUGUCGGCUCGUCACAUCCUGGGGCUGGAGAAGGUCCCAAGGGUUCGGCUGUUCGCCGAUUAAAGUGGCACGCGAGCUGGGUUCAGAACGUCGUGAGACAGUUCGGUCCCUAUCUGUUGCGGGCGUGGGAAGUUUGGGGAGCUCCGACCUUAGUACGAGAGGACCGGGUCGGACCGACCGCUGGUGUGCCGGCUGUGGUGCCAACCGCACCGCCGGGUAGCCACGUCGGGAAGGGAUAAGCGCUGAAAGCAUCUAAGUGCGAAACCCCCUCCGAGAUGGGACUUCCACAGAGGGCCGUCGGAGACGACGACGUCGAUAGGCCGCAGGUGUAAAGCCAGCGAUGGCAAAGCCGAGCGGUACUAAUAGCCCGAAAGCUUGCGUCC
Molecule: ribosomal RNA, 2831 nt
Organism: Mariniradius saccharolyticus AK6
Lineage: Bacteria; Pseudomonadati; Bacteroidota; Cytophagia; Cytophagales; Cyclobacteriaceae
Rfam family: Bacterial large subunit ribosomal RNA
Source: Rfam